This is a long non-coding RNA of Rana temporaria (common frog), 835 nucleotides long. RefSeq lists it as uncharacterized. The transcript has 4 exons. The record is from RefSeq and is a predicted model, not a curated record. NCBI's taxonomy places the organism in Eukaryota, Metazoa, Chordata, Amphibia, Anura, Ranidae.
UUAAGGGAGAUUUCGUUUUUUUUUUGCAGUGCAGGAAGGAAAAUUCACUGACGAGAGACGAGAAGCUCCGCCUGACCCAGCAGCAACUCCCAUUUAAAAAAGCCACACAAGGCAAAGCUGUAGUUUCUGAAUGACACAAAUAACUACUGUAAUGUCAACUGUAGCACACUGUCUACGACAGCUAUAGAGUACAUGGAGAGGUCAGAAACAGAUAGCGCCCUGCAGUAUUUACCAGCCUUCAGAUACCAGCAGAUCAUCAGAGGGAUACACAGCCUGCCACCCUGAAAAGGCAUUUUCCAUGUGCAGCUCAAGCAUGAAUGCAGGAGAGUGCGCUUAGCUGAGAAAAUCAUCCUCCCCUCCUGAAGACUCCUGAGAUGUAUGACAGAAUUUGCCUAGGCAAGAAACCACAAGAACUUGGCCAACUUUCUAAAUCUCUUCAAGUUGACACAGGAGAAAAGAGCUGGGGAAUCUAUGAAUGGUAUAAAGAAGUUCUAAGCUGCAUUUGCUAUUCAACUGUCAGUCCCCAGUUUGAAGCCCCAUGCAUAAAUGGCACGCCAGUCUAGUUUGCAUAUAUGUGCAUGAUGGGAUUGCUCACCACUGAACAAACGGACAGACAUUCCACGCGGUGCUGCGUCAUUCCAAGACAGCGGGGACAGAACAAAAUUCCUACAGCUGACACUGCUAGUUUACACCACUCAACAGCUGAAGACUGGAGGGCCUUGUAACAUUAGAUCAUAAACUGAAUGAUGGUGACACUGAAUAACAAUACAUAGCCUACACAACUAUGAUGGACAUUAUUAAGCCAUUUCCUUCUUUAAUAAACUCAUAACAUGCA